This 254-nucleotide ribosomal RNA is filed under the name uncultured bacterium. RNAcentral describes it as "partial 16S ribosomal RNA". It matches the Rfam family "Bacterial small subunit ribosomal RNA", at positions 524 to 776 of the family's 1533-position model. The record is from RNAcentral.
CACGUAGGGGGCGAGCGUUGUCCGGAUUUAUUGGGCGUAAAGAGCUCGUAGGCGGCUCGGUAAGUCGGGUGUGAAACCUCCAGGCUCAACCUGGAGACGCCACCUGAUACUGCUGUGGCUAGAGUCCGGAUGAGGGAGUGUGGAAUCCUGGUGUAGCGGUGAAAUGCGCAGAUAUCAGGAAGAACACCGGUGGCGAAGGCGGCUAUCUGGACCGACAUUGACGCUGAGGCGCGAAAGCGUGGGGAGCAAACAGG